AGAGUUUGAUUAUGGCUCAGGAUGAACGCUGGCGGCGUGCCUAAUACAUGCAAGUCGAACGCUUCACUUCGGUGAAGAGUGGCGAACGGGUGAGUAAUACAUAAGUAACCUGGCCUUUACAGGGGGAUAACUAUUGGAAACGAUAGCUAAGACCGCAUAGGUGUCAUAACCGCAUGGAGAUGAUAUGAAAUAUGCUACGGCAUAGGUAGAGGAUGGACUUAUGGCGCAUUAGCUAGUUGGAGGGGUAACGGCCCACCAAGGCGACGAUGCGUAGCCGACCUGAGAGGGUGACCGGCCACACUGGGACUGAGACACGGCCCAGACUCCUACGGGAGGCAGCAGUAGGGAAUUUUCGGCAAUGGGGGCAACCCUGACCGAGCAACGCCGCGUGAGUGAAGAAGGUUUUCGGAUCGUAAAGCUCUGUUGUAAGUCAAGAACGAGUGUGAGAGUGGAAAGUUCACACUGUGACGGUAGCUUACCAGAAAGGGACGGCUAACUACGUGCCAGCAGCCGCGGUAAUACGUAGGUCCCGAGCGUUGUCCGGAUUUAUUGGGCGUAAAGCGAGCGCAGGCGGUUUGAUAAGUCUGAAGUUAAAGGCUGUGGCUCAACCAUAGUUCGCUUUGGAAACUGUCAAACUUGAGUGCAGAAGGGGAGAGUGGAAUUCCAUGUGUAGCGGUG
RNAcentral lists this ribosomal RNA (678 nucleotides) under uncultured bacterium. Its description in RNAcentral is "bacterial SSU rRNA". It matches the Rfam family "Bacterial small subunit ribosomal RNA", at positions 8 to 683 of the family's 1533-position model. The record is from RNAcentral.